CAAAUCGGCGUCAGCUUUGGUCGCGUACGGUGGUGGAUUUGAUUGCAAGUGCGGCCGGUAGGUAGCGCUAUUGUGGCGGUGAGCGCGCCUCUGAGUGCGGCAAGAGGACACUCUCGGUCUCGGGCUCGGGUCGAUAUUGCGCGGGCCAUGAUCUGCGUACUGCGCUCAGACACUGAGACAGCCGCGCCGCGCGCCCGCGUUGAGUAGGGUCAGGUGAUCUGAUAAGUCAGCUGGACCAACCAACACCGGUCUCAUCACUUCACUGAUAACGCCACCGGUCAAUCAGUGCAUUGUGUGUAUUUUGUGUGUGUGCUCCUACUCGGGCAAUUAAUUAAGUUUUGGAUCGGUAUUGACUUGUAUUGCCAUCUCCGACAAUGUGUAGGUUUAUCUCAAGUCAGCGAAGCAAUCUGCAAAAUUGACACUUCGAUCUCUGUGCUUUACUACUGGAACUAAUUCAAUAAUAUCUUUUGACUUUGACCACUAGUUCAACAUACGUUGUACCCUAACCUAGUGUAAUUCAGAUUGACAAUAUAGGGUUGUUUGUGUUGACUGUGGUAAACAAGUUUUGUGUAGUCAGGAACUGAUUAAAGUGUAUCAACCCCAAUUAAUUUCCAUACGGUUUGUGUUCUCAAUCACCUAACUAGCUGUUUAAGUUAUGUGAUGACUCAUAAGUGUAUAUCAAUUUUCAAGUCCAAUAGUUAGCAUUCCCAGUGAGGGUUCACUGUCUCUUCAACUCUAGUGCAGUGCAGUUCCCAGCGUUUGUGCCAUAUAUAACCCAAUAUUAUAUUGUAGACAAACCUUGUUACCAAAAAACGUUGAUCUUUACAGGCAUGUAUUGAUCAACUCGAAUAUUGUGUGACAAUAUUUUCUGUGUGAACUGAAUUGAAUAAUUUGUGGGCAGGAUGGUGAUGACUUGCUAUGUGAUAGCCGGUGUUCUGGCGGUGCUCGUCGCUCUCUACUGGAUUUUGGAAGUGCACUACUUCCUCAGGAUGGCCUUCAGCGUCUUCCUCGCCAGGUUCAUCAAGAAGAGAGUUCACAUUUUGGACACGACUGAAGUCAGAGGUGUUUGUCUGAGCACAGACGUAGACACGCUACUAUUUCACAUGAACAACUCGAGGUACAUCCGAGAGCUGGACUUCGCCAGAGCCGACUUCUACGAGAGGACAAGACUGUAUAGCACCAUCAGAGGGAAGGGAGGUGCUGUGGUUCAGGGUGCCUGCACCAUUCGCUACAGGCGCUUCGUCAGGCCUUUCUCCUGUUUCAAAAUCACUUCAAAGAUAAUCUACUGGGAUCACCAGUCGAUAUUCAUGGAGCACAGAUUUAUCACGCCGAAGGACGAGUUUGUGCGUGCGGUGGUAGUGUGCCGACAGCGGCUGAUCGGAGUCAACGCAGAGGACAUCAUGCACGAGCUGAUGAAGGAGAAGGAAGCCAACCUCGAGCUGGGAUUCUGCAAGCCUGAGUGUCCUCUCGAGGUCAAGAAGUGGAACGAGUCCAACGAGAUCUCCAGCGCCAACCUCAGGAACGGCUGCUGACAUUUGCCUCAACCUCAACAGACUGUUGCUUGUACCUCUUAAGCGGGUUAAUUAUUAGACAUUUGAAGGGGUUAGAAUACAAGUGGUCCUAGUGACAUAUUGUUAGUUUCGAGAAAUUGAGUCUUAAGCCGUGUCCACACUGAACACAGACAAACAUGCUUGUUGAGGAGCUUAGGGACAAACAUUUUAAAAAGUUUGGACAAUCAUUGUUUGUCAAACAAAAAAUUACUGUUUUCCAAACAUUUUCAGAGUUGACAGCUGUAAAACAUAAAUCCUGUUCUUCCCACUUACAAAUAUUUUGUUCGGUGACGCGUUCACACUGGUCACGGGCAAACAUUGUUUGUCAAACCUAAUAAAAUUUGCCCAAACUUUUUCAACAAACAUGUUUGUCGACCAUUUGACCAGUGUGGACACGGCUUAAAGUUUAUAUACAUUAAUUCUUCAUUCAUGAAAUGAAUAUAGAAAUGAUAUUCACCUAUUCAGUAUACUUUUACCAAAUCAAACGUACAUGUCUCAAAUUGCUUUUUUUCUCAGUUAUCAGCCAAAUAGUGAUAAGAAAUAUCACUUGUGCCCCUUGUUUGCCAAACAAAACUCUAUUGUCUAGCUACACAUAAAUCUAUCAAAUUUACCAGCAAUUGAACAAUGAUUAAUGACCUCAUUGCAAUAUUAUCAAAUUCGCUAAUUGGUUCUUGAGGUAUCUUUUGCUUGGUGACAUGGCUUAAUCAAGGAUAAAUUUAAUUUGAUGGAUACGAGCAACCGUUGUUCAGUGAACAAGGGAUUCAAGUCACUUGGACCCCUUGUUUAAUCAAAUAAACUGAUAACCAUAGCUGAUUGUAUGGUAUGCGAUGUUGUGGUAAUUUCUUCAUAAUUGAAAGAAUAAAGCUGCGUUUACACCAAAGUUAUUAACAAAAUGUUAAUAACUUAAUCCUUAUAGAUUCUAUUAGAUUAAACAUAACUUAUCAUACACAUGAUGAACAUAUGUGUUUGCCAAGUUCCUUUCAAUCUAAUAGAAUCUAUUAGGAUAAAGUUAUUAACAUUUUGUUAAAAUGUAAACGCAGCUUUAGAUGUUGAUAUUGUCAAUACCACUUUAAUUUAUUCAAAAAUUAAUUCAUUUACUGAACCAGGUUUCAUGGUAACAUCUUCGAAGAUGUGGUAGGUGUUACCAUGAAACCUGGUUCUGUCAUAUGAAUUAAUUUUCGAAUAAAUUAAAAUGGUAUUGACAAUAUCAACAUCUUAUUCUUUCAAGUAAACAGCUGUUUCAAAAUUUAGUUUACAAAUUUCACACCAGAUGUCAGCACUGAUUAGACUUACGCUUUUACGCUUAUACCUCUGGUAUAGAUUUUUACCACUUUCAGCUAUCGAUUGCUGUAGCUAACUUGAAAAAAAUGAAAAAUGUCACUUGGAUCUCUGGUAUUCUGACCCCCUCAUUUAUAACCAACAGCUUUAAUGAGAAAUUCAGUCUUAUUGUUCAGGUGAUGAAGACUCCAUGGAUAAUAAAUUCAUUUUUCAGCUAGACCUAGAUGGUAGCAAAAUGAAUAUUAUUAUACAAUUUUAUGUUCCUGUAUAAUAUAUUAUCAAGAAGCUUAUUAUUUCUUGUUAUGAAAUAUAAUAAUAAACCAUAUUAUUUACAAGAUAGUGCAUUAUCAGUUGUUGGGACUAAUAGAAGAGAUGUGUGAAGAGUGAUUUACUAUUGUGAUAUUAUAAAUAACUAUUUAGGACAGAUUUGAUGUAGGUUUAUGCGAGAACCCAAACCAAUUUUCAGAUUUAGUAUUAAUGUUAAUCAAUAUGUAUUACUCUCAGUUAACCUUUGUAUCAUUAGAACUUCGUUAUUUUUCAAAAGACACAUUUGUUUCACUCAUUACUGGAUUGAGAAUCAUAAACAGCAGAACAAUAUUAUAAGCCAGCAUAUUUAUGUAAUUUCUCUUGAAAAAUUCCUACUAUUACACUGUACUACUGUAUUUAAAUAGAAUCAGAUCGUCAAUAGAUUAGGCAAAACUAUACUGUUUUUGAAAUUGUAAUCAAUGUAAACUUAUACUGUUAUGUAUCAAUAUAGAUUGAAGCUGGCCAAUGUAACUUGCACGUACCUUUAUAGCCAAAAUAAUUGCCUUCAAUUCUAAUGAGGUGGAACAAAUUUAAAUUUUAUAACAGCAUUUGUUUAGCGGAAAUGUUGUUUGAAGAUGCUGGACAUCUUUACAGUGUACUUAAUAUAUUGUUGGAGAAUUUUUGUAAUAUGAAUAAAGUUGAAUACUGAGUUCAAUAA
RNAcentral lists this unclassified non-coding RNA (3792 nucleotides) under Nilaparvata lugens (brown planthopper). RNAcentral describes it as "protein THEM6, transcript variant X1". Lineage: Eukaryota; Metazoa; Arthropoda; Insecta; Hemiptera; Delphacidae. The record is from RNAcentral.